GGCGAGAUGGCUCAGUGGUUAAGAGCACUGACUGCUCUUCCAGAGGUCCUGAGUUCAAUUCCCAGCACCCACA
RNAcentral lists this transfer RNA (73 nucleotides) under Mus musculus (house mouse). Its description in RNAcentral is "tRNA-Ser". The record is from RNAcentral. Lineage: Eukaryota; Metazoa; Chordata; Mammalia; Rodentia; Muridae.